RNAcentral lists this long non-coding RNA (1539 nucleotides) under Salvator merianae (Argentine black and white tegu). RNAcentral describes it as "lncRNA (ENSSMRG00000018760.1)". Lineage: Eukaryota; Metazoa; Chordata; Lepidosauria; Squamata; Teiidae. The record is from RNAcentral.
CUGUUUCUCGUUUUAAAAAAAGAUGUCCUGGCCUUCCUGUUUUUAAUUUGUAGCGCUCUAGGGCUCCAGGAGAUAGAACACGGCAGCCAUGCCAUGCAGAUCGUGCAGAACAGCCGGUCNCCGUGAGCUGAGGCUUUCUCUCGCUGCCUGGGACGCCAGCAGAAACAGAAUGGCCGCUGUGCCGCUUGAGAAAGGGCAACGGGACAGCCAUGUGCUCCCGAAGACCCNCUUGGCUUCCUGGCUCAAAUUCACUCAGGAGUAGUUACAUCCUGUCACUAGUGAUCUUGGGCCAGGUCCUUCUUCCCAGCCCAGGGUACCUCACCGGGUUGUGCAGAUCACACAGAGGGGAGAAUUUCACGCUAACUUCAACUGAAGCAAAGGCAGUCUGUAAAUGCCANAAAUAAGCAGAGUGCCUUUUGUCCUCCUCUCAGGAACAUUUGGUUUAUUUCCGUCCUGCCCUCUUCUACCUCUCAAACAGGAUGAAGCGGAGAAGAAAGAGGAGAAGGAAAAGAAGAAGGAGCCUGAGCCGUCCUUCCAGCUCCUGGACAACCCAGCUCGGGUGAUGCCUGCCCAGCUCAAAGUCCUCACCAUGCCCGAGAGCUGUCGGUACCAGCCUUUCAAGACUCUUUCCAUUGGUGGCAUCAUUGUCUUGAGAGAUACCAGCGAGGACACAGAAGAACUGGUNGAGCCUGUGGCUGCGCACGGGCCGAAGAUCGAGGAGGAAGAGCAAGAACCGGAGCCACCGGAGCCAUUUGAAUACAUUGANGAUUAGGAUGCCGGGGGCCGACGGCAUCUCGCCACCACGUGUGAUCUUGGGAAACUGCCAGGAGGUUCUUGCUGCGGCCCUGCGGUUCCGUUCGUGCGCCUGUGCCGGCCAGCAGCAAGGCAGCCUGCAUUUUAUGGUUGACGAUGAAACCUGUGCUCUCUUUAAUGUACUCUUUCACAAAAAACUGGUUUUGAAAAUAAAUACAUUUUUAAAACCCAGUGGUUACCUUGUUCCUGGGCAUUUUUCCCCACUGGGAGAGGAGGAAGCGUUCAGUAAGAGUCCUAAAGCAGGUUUUAUUUGUAAUCCCCCUGAGGUUCCCUUCUUUGCAGUUUCAAGGUUGAACUGAAAAUUGGAAGUUUGGUCACGGAAGAAUUCAUGACUUGUGCCCUCGUAUCUAGCGCUUUCUCAAUCAGGAAUACUUAAAACCAGCCCAUAUAGGCCAAACCAUAGGGAAAACGCCAGGAUUCAUGGGGAAUUUCCAGGGCGCUUUGACAUAACGACUUGUGGCNCAGUGGUUAAGAGCGCCAGGCUCGAACGCAAAAGUUCCUCUGUUCAAAUCUCCGCUGCUCCAUGGAAGCUCGUUGGUCUUCUCAGCUAUGGGUAAANUAGCUUCACUGCCUUGUGAGUCUCUUGGGAAAGGCAAAUGCUAAAACAGAAAACCCUGUCAGAAAAUCCAGAAUGAACCCUCUAAUCUCUUCAGAAACAUCUGCACUUGUAAGUAAGUAAGUAAGUAAUUAAAUAAAUAAAUGUUUAUGCCACUUUAUAUCUGAAGU